Molecule: long non-coding RNA, 2533 nt
Organism: Macaca nemestrina (pig-tailed macaque)
Lineage: Eukaryota; Metazoa; Chordata; Mammalia; Primates; Cercopithecidae
Source: Ensembl
UUUGGCUGACAGUGCAGGAACCUAGAAAAGAGGCCUGUAUUUGAGCAGGAGUUCCAGGUGUGGUGUGUACUGUGUACCGGCGUAUCAGAAUGAGCCAGAUUUCACAUGUUUAUUGCUGAGCCAUUUCUGGUAGAUUUCAUAGAGACCCAGCCUUUUUCUGCUCCCAUUUGGAAGUGACGGUCCCCACAUUUCCCACCCUCUGAAACUUCUUCAUUGUUAAGCGGAAUCUUCUCUGAGCUCAGAAGUAAAAUCGAUUGGAUUUGAUUAAUGAAAUGUGUGUUUGCUGCGUUUUCUGGCUGUAGAGAUUUACUUCCCAUGGUUUCUUCUCAGAGCUGAACAAAUGGCCAGUGUUCAGAAUGCCCAGAGAGACAAUGCUGGGGACAGGGCAGAUUUCUGGAGAAUGCGUGGCCAGAGGUCUGGGGUGAAGAAGAACCUGAGGAAAAGUCGGGAAGACCUUACAGCCGUUGUGUCUGUCAGCACCAAAUUCCCGGCUUAUGAGAGGGUUUUGCUGCGAGAAGCUGGUUUCAAGAGACCUGUGGUCUUAUUCGGCCCCAUAGCUGAUAUAGCAAUGGAAAAAUUGGCAAAUGAGUUACCUGACUGGUUUCAAACUGCUAAAACGGAACCAAAAGAUGCAGGAUCUGAGAAAUCCACCGGAGUGGUCCGGUUAAAUACCGUGAGGCAAAUUAUUGAACAGGUGAGAAAAUUCAUCCACAGACCAUGUUCUCAGAAAUAAUUAGAUCAUGGUUUGCUGCAGUCACUUUUAGAAUAGUAUCUGUACCUUAAUCAUUAAAUGUUAAUAAUAAAAAAUUGGCCAGGUGCAGUGGCUCACACCUGUAAUCUCAGCCCUUUGAGAGGCUGAAGCGGGUAGAUCACCUAAGGUCAGGAGUUAGAGACCAGCCUGGCCAACAUGGUGAAACCCUGUCUCUACUAAAAUUAUAAUUAGCCGGGCGUGGUGGCAGGUGCCUGUAGUCCCAGCUACUCAGGAGGCUGAGGCAGGAGAAUCGCUUGAACCCAGGAGGCAGAGGUUGCAGUGAGCCAAAGAUCACGCCAUUGCACUCCAGCCUGGGCGACAGAGGGAGACUCCAUCAAAAAAAAAAAAAAAAAAAAGAUGUAGCACUAUGAUUUUAAAAUGUCUUGUUCUUUGUGCUGCAUUUCAAUUUUACUUGCUUUCUAACUAUAAGGCUGAGGCUCUUUAAUUUGAUAAAUACCUUUCAAUUUUAUAAACACAUGUUAAACACUUUUAGGUGAUAGAAGCUAUAGGAAAAGGGUGGAAUUGGUCAGAGUCUUUAUUUGCACGCUUUUAUUUGAACCGUUUAAAAUUAGCGUGAAUGCUGGGCCAGCAUACUCAUUUGCCACAGACCCCAACACUCCCUAUUGCAUUAUAGUUAUCUGUUUCAUACUUGUGUAUUACCUUCUUGGCCACCUCUGUGAGAGACUCACAGAAGGGACAUGGAUGGAAACAACCACAAGAAAUUCUAAUCUGAUCUGGUGACAGAUCCUUGCUUCAAUGGCUUAUCUCUAAGGUGCAGCUGGCAGUGUGGGGAGGCCAGAAGGUAUAGUGCUCAGGCCCAUAGCAAGGUGCUGGGUGGGAGGGCUUGAAUAGUGACAUUAAGGACUCAUUUACGUGUUGGCUUUGCUCUGGUCAGGCCCUGAUGAAAACAAACAAAAGGCUCAGUGGCACCUUACUAUAAACUUCUCUGUUUUUUCUUUUUUUUCUCUCUUUCUGUUUUUCCUUCCUAAUAGGUGAACACACAGGAUUUCAGAGGACUAGUGCGGGAAGAUGCUGUUCUCUACCUGUUAGAAAUCCCUAAAGGUGAAAUGGUGACCAUUUUAGCUCAGAGCCGAGCCGAUGGUGAGCAAGUUUGGUCAUUUAGUUUUGUUGGGGUUGGGGGUGGGGAGUGGGAAGGAUGAGAGAGGUGUCUUGGUACCAGAAUAGGCAAAUCUGGGUAAUAAAAAAUUGAGAUGGAUCUCAACACCCAAUCCUUGGGUCCUAGGUGUGUGAAGAAAAUCUGGGUGCCAUUUAACUUUUCCAUAAAAAUGUUUUCUAUGCAUACACUGAAAUAAUUUUACUAGUUGUGUCAUUUUGGAAUAAAAGUGCCUUCCUGAACAGUGAUGCAGCCUUACGUUCUGCCUGGAGUUAUUAGUGAGUUUACAUAUGACAGGUGCAAAGGCCAUGGCUGCUGGCUGGUGCCCCUGUUGCCCCCAGCCAGUCUGACAAGUUGUUUCGCCUUUCCAGGCCUUGUUCUCAUCUGUGAAGUGAGGGUUGAGAGUAUCUUCCUUGUCUGCUUCAGAGUUUGAUUGGCGAGUGUGUUAAUCAAGUUCUUCAGAGAAACAGAACCGAUAGGAGAUAUUGGAAUCAAUAGGAGAGAAAGAGAUUUAUUGUAAAGAAUUGGCUCACAUAAUUAUGGGGACUGGCAAGUGCCAAGAUCUGCAGUGAAAAUGGUCAAGGUAGAGACUCAGGAGAGCCAGUGAUUUAGUUCUAGUCUCAGUCUGAAGGGCUGAGAACCCGGAGAGCCAAUGGUGUAGUUCCAGU